Molecule: long non-coding RNA, 353 nt
Filed under: Chinchilla lanigera (long-tailed chinchilla)
Lineage: Eukaryota; Metazoa; Chordata; Mammalia; Rodentia; Chinchillidae
Description: lncRNA (ENSCLAG00000023139.1)
Source: RNAcentral
GGAGCCUCCAAGACUGAACUAGCUCUGUGAGGCUCCUCCAAAUCCUCCCAGAGACUAGCCAGCCUACCCUGCCAGGGUUGCCGAUGAGCACCCCGAAGCCUGCAGUCCCUCUUGCCUCUGACCGUCUUUCACUCCCCUCCGGCUCUCUCUACCUCUCCAGGGCCAGGCUUUGGAGAUGAUGAUCUUAGGCCCACCCAAGACAAGAAGCCCUGAUACAUGUACACCCAGGGAAGAACGAGUGACACACAUUAAGGGCUCAGCCACAAAGGUAAAAAGCCUGUGAGAGCAUCCAGUCCAUCCCGGACAUUCUCAGAAAUACAAGCAAGGAACACAGCAUGGAGCCCAGCACCAGG